This is a long non-coding RNA of Erinaceus europaeus (western European hedgehog), 1637 nucleotides long. RefSeq lists it as uncharacterized. The transcript is spliced from 4 exons. The record is from RefSeq and is a predicted model, not a curated record. Lineage: Eukaryota; Metazoa; Chordata; Mammalia; Eulipotyphla; Erinaceidae.
CUUGAGUAAUCCUCUAGAAGAUUCAGCAGCUAAAAACCUACACUACAACCAGCUUUCUCACGCACUUACCUUAUUCAUGCUCACUCUCUUUUCUGCUAGUUGACCAUAUGUCACACAACAUUGUGACCCGGCACCCUGAGGACUUGGUGCUGAUCGUUGUGCUGAUGACUGCACUCUGCUGCCUGCUCACAGCCUGGCUCCAGGAGUGCAGUGAGCUCCUUUGACCCGGAGGGUGCCGGCAUGCAGUCCUGUGAAUGCUGAGACCUGUCUCUGUAGAGCCACCUCCCGACCCACUGAUGGUACUAUUUUUAUAUGAUUAAGCAAUAGUCUUGCUGGAAAACAAGGAGUUGUUCUUGGAAAGAUGACUUUGACCAGCAGAAUAAUGUUGCUGAGAGCCAGGAGCCAUGCACAGGGCAGUGAGUCCUGAUGGUAGGAUGGUGCCAACAGACUGCUGAGAGGACACUGAAGAGUCUGAAGAAUCAAGGAGGAAGAUGGUGGGUGCAGGUCCUGAGGACAGAGGUCUGGGCGGGCUGCUUCAAAGCGACAUAGAAGUAGGGGCGGGGUGGUGGUGCACUUGGUUAAGCGCACCUGUUACAAUGCACAAGGGCCUGGAUUCGAUCCCCUGGUCCCCACCUUCAGGGAGAAAUCUUUAGGAGUGGUGAAGUAGUUCUGCAGGUGUUUCUUUGCCUCUCUUUCUUGAUAACACCCCCUUCCUUCUUGAUUUUUGGCUGUCACUAUCCAAGAAAUAAAGAUAAUUUAAAAACAAAGUGACCUAGAUGCAUCUGGAAGCAGCCUGUGUCCAGGUUCUCCUGGCUGUCCUCUCUGCAGUCCUGCUUUAUGACCCCCACCUUUAUAAACUGUGUGGUGUCCUUCUGGCCUGUUCUGCUCCCAACAUCUGACUGCUCUCAACUGUCAGUCACCAUGGGUUUUCCUUGGGGUCCUACCUGCUUCACCAUGGGACCAAGAACACGGGGUCCAGAGUUCUGUCCUUUCCUGAGUAUGGGUGCCUGGACCUGAAAUCAGGUUCCUGGCUGAGUUGGGGGAUAAAGGAAAUGCUAUAUUGUCCUGGUAGAAUGAUCAGAUUGGGGGUUAGACACUGGGGGUCAGAACCCUGCAGUGUCCUGCUCUGCCCAGUGUAACACUGACUGCUUGGCUCUCACAGGGCCCAGGGUUUUAGUCAAUGCAAUUAAGCAAGCUUUCCCCUCCCUCCUUUUUUUUUUUUUUUUUUUUCCACCAAAGCACUGUUCAACUCUAGUUUAUGGUGGCCCAACAGAUUGAGUUUGGGACUUUGAAACCUCAGGAUUGAAAGUCUCUUUGCAUAAAUAUUAUGCUAUCUAUCCCCACCCACCUACUUUUUUUUCUGACUGUUAUAGUGAAACCUGCUGCCCAUCCCUGUCCCACCCUGUGCUGUUUAUGUUCAUAUUCAUGUUGUUCUGGUCUUAGAGAGUGUCACCUGCAUAAAUAUUCCAGGAAUGUCCCCUUUUGAAAAACAGAUGAAAAGUGUUCAUAAAAGCAUAAUUACUUUUCCGUGAAUGUGCAGAGCUAGUCUUCCCUGUCAUCUGCUUACAGAUGGUUAGCAGAAUUUAAAGCAAUUUUGUAAAAAUUUUCAAUUAUUUUUAUUAAAUUAUUUUCAAUUA